This 1346-nucleotide ribosomal RNA is filed under the name uncultured bacterium. RNAcentral's name for it is "partial 16S ribosomal RNA". It matches the Rfam family "Bacterial small subunit ribosomal RNA", at positions 28 to 1381 of the family's 1533-position model. The record is from RNAcentral.
GACGAACGCUGGCGGCGUGCUUAACACAUGCAAGUCGAACGGAAAGGCCCUGCUUUUGUGGGGUGCUCGAGUGGCGAACGGGUGAGUAACACGUGAGUAACCUGCCCUUGACUUUGGGAUAACUUCAGGAAACUGGGGCUAAUACCGGAUAGGAGCUCCUGCUGCAUGGUGGGGGUUGGAAAGUUUCGGCGGUUGGGGAUGGACUCGCGGCUUAUCAGCUUGUUGGUGGGGUAGUGGCUUACCAAGGCUUUGACGGGUAGCCGGCCUGAGAGGGUGACCGGCCACAUUGGGACUGAGAUACGGCCCAGACUCCUACGGGAGGCAGCAGUGGGGAAUAUUGCACAAUGGGCGGAAGCCUGAUGCAGCAACGCCGCGUGCGGGAUGACGGCCUUCGGGUUGUAAACCGCUUUCGCCUGUGACGAAGCGUGAGUGACGGUAAUGGGUAAAGAAGCACCGGCUAACUACGUGCCAGCAGCCGCGGUGAUACGUAGGGUGCGAGCGUUGUCCGGAUUUAUUGGGCGUAAAGGGCUCGUAGGUGGUUGAUCGCGUCGGAAGUGUAAUCUUGGGGCUUAACCCUGAGCGUGCUUUCGAUACGGGUUGACUUGAGGAAGGUAGGGGAGAAUGGAAUUCCUGGUGGAGCGGUGGAAUGCGCAGAUAUCAGGAGGAACACCAGUGGCGAAGGCGGUUCUCUGGGCCUUUCCUGACGCUGAGGAGCGAAAGCGUGGGGAGCGAACAGGCUUAGAUACCCUGGUAGUCCACGCUGUAAACGGUGGGUACUAGGUGUGGGGUCCACUCCACGGGUUCCGUGCCGUAGCUAACGCUUUAAGUACCCCGCCUGGGGAGUACGGCCGCAAGGCUAAAACUCAAAGGAAUUGACGGGGCCCCGCACAAGCGGCGGAGCAUGCGGAUUAAUUCGAUGCAACGCGUAGAACCUUACCUGGGUUUGACAUGGAUCGGGAGUGCUCAGAGAUGGGUGUGCCUCUUUUGGGGUCGGUUCACAGGUGGUGCAUGGCUGUCGUCAGCUCGUGUCGUGAGAUGUUGGGUUAAGUCCCGCAACGAGCGCAACCCUUGUUCAUUGUUGCCAGCACGUUAUGGUGGGGACUCAGUGGAGACCGCCGGGGUCAACUCGGAGGAAGGUGGGGAUGACGUCAAGUCAUCAUGCCCCUUAUGUCCAGGGCUUCACGCAUGCUACAAUGGCUGGUACAGAGAGUGGCGAGCCUGUGAGGGUGAGCGAAUCUCGGAAAGCCGGUCUCAGUUCGGAUUGGGGUCUGCAACUCGACCUCAUGAAGUCGGAGUCGCUAGUAAUCGCAAAUCAGCAACGCUGCGGUGAAUACGUUCCCGGGGCU